GGUUGUAGCAAAUAUUCAAACGAGAACUUUGAAAGUCGAAGUGGAGAAGGCUUUCAUGUGAACAGUAGUUGAACAUGGAUCAGUUGGUCCUAAGAGAUGGGCGAACGCCGUUCAGAAGGGAGGGGCGAUGGCCUCCGGCCGAUCGAAAGGGAGUUGGUUCAGAUCCCCGAAUCCGGAGUGGUGGAGACGGGCACCGCGAGGCGUCCAGUGCGGUAACGCGACCGAUACCGGAGAAGCUGGCGGGAGCCCCGGGGAGAGUUCUCUUUUCUUUGUGAAGGGCAGGGCGCCCUGGAAUGGGUUCGCCCCGAGAGAGGGGCCCAAGCCCUGGAAAGCUUCGCGGUUCGGGGGGCGUCCGGUGAGCUCUCGCUGGCCCUUGAAAAUCCGGGGGAGACGGUGUAAAUCUCACGCCGGGCCGUACCCAUAUCCACAGCAGGUCUCGAUCUAUAAGCCCAGAUA
Molecule: non-coding RNA, 456 nt
Filed under: Salmo salar (Atlantic salmon)
Lineage: Eukaryota; Metazoa; Chordata; Actinopteri; Salmoniformes; Salmonidae
Description: Eukaryotic large subunit ribosomal RNA
Rfam family: Eukaryotic large subunit ribosomal RNA
Source: Rfam by way of RNAcentral